RNAcentral lists this ribosomal RNA (253 nucleotides) under uncultured bacterium. Its description in RNAcentral is "partial 16S ribosomal RNA". It matches the Rfam family "Bacterial small subunit ribosomal RNA", at positions 524 to 776 of the family's 1533-position model. The record is from RNAcentral.
UACGAAGGGGGCUAGCAUUGCUCGGAAUUACUGGGCGUAAAGGGCGCGUAGGCGGCACUGUUAGUCAGGCGUGAAAGUCCUGGGCUCAACCUGGGAACUGCGCUUGAUACGGCAGAGCUAGAGGAUGGAAGAGGCUCGCGGAAUUCCCAGUGUAGAGGUGAAAUUCGUAGAUAUUGGGAAGAACACCGGUGGCGAAGGCGGCGAGCUGGUCCAUUACUGACGCUGAGGCGCGACAGCGUGGGGAGCAAACAGG